RNAcentral lists this ribosomal RNA (387 nucleotides) under uncultured bacterium. RNAcentral's name for it is "bacterial SSU rRNA". It matches the Rfam family "Bacterial small subunit ribosomal RNA", at positions 958 to 1345 of the family's 1533-position model. The record is from RNAcentral.
AACGCGAAGAACCUUACCAGGCCUUGACAUCCGGAUGGCGUAUGGGCAAUGCCAUAUUUCCUUCGGGACAUCCGAGACAGGUGGUGCAUGGUUGUCGUCAGCUCGUGUCGUGAGAUGUUGGGUUAAGUCCCGCAACGAGCGCAACCCCUGCCUUCUGUAGCCAGCAUUCAGGAUGGGAACUCAGGAGGGACUGCCCGGGAGAACCGGGAGGAAGGCGGGGAUGACGUCAAAUCAUCAUGCCCCUUAUGGCCUGGGCUACACACGUGCUACAAUGGCGUAAACAAAGGGAAGCGAGCCUGCGAGGGUAAGCGAAUCCCAAAAAUAACGUCCCAGUUCGGAUUGCAGUCUGCAACUCGAGUGCAUGAAGCUGGAAUCGCUAGUAAUCGC